RNAcentral lists this ribosomal RNA (871 nucleotides) under Arachnopeziza aurata. RNAcentral's name for it is "LSU rRNA". It matches the Rfam family "Eukaryotic large subunit ribosomal RNA", at positions 74 to 964 of the family's 3401-position model. Lineage: Eukaryota; Fungi; Ascomycota; Leotiomycetes; Helotiales; Arachnopezizaceae. The record is from RNAcentral.
AUUACCUCAGUAACGGCGAGUGAAGCGGUAACAGCUCAAAUUUGAAAUCUGGCUCUCGGGCCCGAGUUGUAAUUUGUAGAAGAUGCUUUGGGUGUGGCUCCGGUCUAAGUUCCUUGGAACAGGACGUCAUAGAGGGUGAGAAUCCCGUACGUGACUGGUGGCCUUCGCUCGUGUAAAGCUCUUUCGACGAGUCGAGUUGUUUGGGAAUGCAGCUCAAAAUGGGKGGUAUAUUUCAUCUAAAGCUAAAUAUUGGCCAGAGACCGAUAGCGCACAAGUAGAGUGAUCGAAAGAUGAAAAGCACUUUGGAAAGAGAGUUAAACAGUACGUGAAAUUGUUGAAAGGGAAGCGCUUGCAACCAGACUUGCAGGCUGUUGAUCAUCCGGGGUUCUCCCCGGUGCACUCGGCAGUUUUCAGGCCAGCAUCGGUUUGGGUGGUGGGAUAAAGGCCUUGGGAAUGUGGCUCUCUUCGGGGAGUGUUAUAGCCCAAGGUGCAAUGCCGCCUACCUGGACCGAGGACCGCGCUUCGGCUAGGAUGCUGGCGUAAUGGUUGUAAGCGACCCGUCUUGAAACACGGACCAAGGAGUCUAACAUCUAUGCGAGUGUUUGGGUGUUAAACCCAUACGCGUAAUUAACGUGAACGGAGGUAAGAACCCUUAAGGGUGCAUUAUCGACCGAUCCUGAUGUCUUCGGAUGGAUUUGAGUAAGAGCAUAGCUGUUGGGACCCGAAAGAUGGUGAACUAUGCCUGAAUAGGGUGAAGCCAGAGGAAACUCUGGUGGAGGCUCGCAGCGGUUCUGACGUGCAAAUCGAUCGUCAAAUUUGGGUAUAGGGGGCGAAAGACUAAUCGAACCAUCUAGUAGCUGGUUCCUGCCGA